AUAGGGUCAAGUGAAUAAGUGCAUCAGGCGGAUGCCUUGGCGAUGAUAGGCGACGAAGGACGUGUAAGCCUGCGAAAAGCGCGGGGGAGCUGGCAAUAAAGCUAUGAUUCCGCGAUGUCCGAAUGGGGAAACCCACUGCAUUCUGUGCAGUAUCCUAAGUUGAAUACAUAGGCUUAGAGAAGCGAACCCGGAGAACUGAACCAUCUAAGUACCCGGAGGAAAAGAAAUCAACCGAGAUUCCGCAAGUAGUGGCGAGCGAACGCGGAGGAGUCCUCCGGCGGAGAUAACUGUACGUAAUAACUGUCGAGAUAGAAGAACAAGCUGGGAAGCUUGACCAUAGCGGGUGACAGUCCCGUAUUCGAAAUCUCAACAGCGGUACUAAGCGUACGAAAAGUAGGGCGGGACACGUGAAAUCCUGUCUGAAUAUGGGGGGACCAUCCUCCAAGGCUAAAUACUCAUCAUCGACCGAUAGUGAACCAGUACCGUGAGGGAAAGGCGAAAAGAACCCCGGGAGGGGAGUGAAACAGAACCUGAAACCUGAUGCAUACAAACAGUGGGAGCGCCCUAGUGGUGUGACUGCGUACCUUUUGUAUAAUGGGUCAACGACUUACAUUCAGUAGCGAGCUUAACCGGAUAGGGGAGGCGUAGGGAAACCGAGUCUUAAUAGGGCGAUGAGUUGCUGGGUGUAGACCCGAAACCGAGUGAUCUAUCCAUGGCCAGGUUGAAGGUGCCGUAACAGGUACUGGAGGACCGAACCCACGCAUGUUGCAAAAUGCGGGGAUGAGCUGUGGGUAGGGGUGAAAGGCUAAACAAACUCGGAGAUAGCUGGUUCUCCCCGAAAACUAUUUAGGUAGUGCCUCGAGCAAGACACUGAUGGGGGUAAAGCACUGUUAUGGCUAGGGGGUUAUUGCAACUUACCAACCCAUGGCAAACUCAGAAUACCAUCAAGUGGUUCCUCGGGAGACAGACAGCGGGUGCUAACGUCCGUUGUCAAGAGGGAAACAACCCAGACCGCCGGCUAAGGUCCCAAAUGAUAGAUUAAGUGGUAAACGAAGUGGGAAGGCACAGACAGCCAGGAUGUUGGCUUAGAAGCAGCCAUCAUUUAAAGAAAGCGUAAUAGCUCACUGGUCGAGUCGUCCUGCGCGGAAGAUGUAACGGGGCUCAAAUCUAUAACCGAAGCUGCGGAUGCCGGUUUACCGGCAUGGUAGGGGAGCGUUCUGUAGGCUGAUGAAGGUGCAUUGUAAAGUGUGCUGGAGGUAUCAGAAGUGCGAAUGUUGACAUGAGUAGCGAUAAAGCGGGUGAAAAGCCCGCUCGCCGAAAGCCCAAGGUUUCCUACGCAACGUUCAUCGGCGUAGGGUGAGUCGGCCCCUAAGGCGAGGCAGAAAUGCGUAGUCGAUGGGAAACAGGUUAAUAUUCCUGUACUUGAUUCAAAUGCGAUGUGGGGACGGAGAAGGUUAGGUUGGCAAGCUGUUGGAAUAGCUUGUUUAAGCCGGUAGGUGGAAGACUUAGGCAAAUCCGGGUUUUCUUAACACCGAGAAGUGAUGACGAGUGUCUACGGACACGAAGCAACCGAUACCACGCUUCCAGGAAAAGCCACUAAGCUUCAGUUUGAAUCGAACCGUACCGCAAACCGACACAGGUGGGCAGGAUGAGAAUUCUAAGGCGCUUGAGAGAACUCGGGAGAAGGAACUCGGCAAAUUGAUACCGUAACUUCGGGAGAAGGUAUGCCCUCUAAGGUUAAGGACUUGCUCCGUAAGCCCCGGAGGGUCGCAGAGAAUAGGUGGCUGCGACUGUUUAUUAAAAACACAGCACUCUGCCAACACGAAAGUGGACGUAUAGGGUGUGACGCCUGCCCGGUGCCGGAAGGUUAAUUGAAGAUGUGCAAGCAUCGGAUCGAAGCCCCGGUAAACGGCGGCCGUAACUAUAACGGUCCUAAGGUAGCGAAAUUCCUUGUCGGGUAAGUUCCGACCCGCACGAAUGGCGUAACGAUGGCCACACUGUCUCCUCCCGAGACUCAGCGAAGUUGAAGUGGUUGUGAAGAUGCAAUCUACCCGCUGCUAGACGGAAAGACCCCGUGAACCUUUACUGUAGCUUUGCAUUGGACUUUGAAGUCACUUGUGUAGGAUAGGUGGGAGGCUUGGAAGCAGAGACGCCAGUCUCUGUGGAGUCGUCCUUGAAAUACCACCCUGGUGUCUUUGAGGUUCUAACCCAGACCCGUCAUCCGGGUCGGGGACCGUGCAUGGUAGGCAGUUUGACUGGGGCGGUCUCCUCCCAAAGCGUAACGGAGGAGUUCGAAGGUUACCUAGGUCCGGUCGGAAAUCGGACUGAUAGUGCAAUGGCAAAAGGUAGCUUAACUGCGAGACCGACAAGUCGGGCAGGUGCGAAAGCAGGACAUAGUGAUCCGGUGGUUCUGUAUGGAAGGGCCAUCGCUCAACGGAUAAAAGGUACUCCGGGGAUAACAGGCUGAUUCCGCCCAAGAGUUCAUAUCGACGGCGGAGUUUGGCACCUCGAUGUCGGCUCAUCACAUCCUGGGGCUGUAGUCGGUCCCAAGGGUAUGGCUGUUCGCCAUUUAAAGUGGUACGUGAGCUGGGUUUAAAACGUCGUGAGACAGUUUGGUCCCUAUCUGCAGUGGGCGUUGGAAGUUUGACGGGGGCUGCUCCUAGUACGAGAGGACCGGAGUGGACGAACCUCUGGUGUACCGGUUGUAACGCCAGUUGCAUAGCCGGGUAGCUAAGUUCGGAAGAGAUAAGCGCUGAAAGCAUCUAAGCGCGAAACUCGCCUGAAGAUGAGACUUCCCUUGCGGUUUAACCGCACUAAAGGGUCGUUCGAGACCAGGACGUUGAUAGGUGGGGUGUGGAAGCGCGGUAACGCGUGAAGCUAACCCAUACUAAUUGCCCGUGAGGCUUGACUCUAU
RNAcentral lists this ribosomal RNA (2914 nucleotides) under Neisseria gonorrhoeae. Its description in RNAcentral is "23S ribosomal RNA". It matches the Rfam family "Bacterial large subunit ribosomal RNA". The record is from RNAcentral. Lineage: Bacteria; Pseudomonadati; Pseudomonadota; Betaproteobacteria; Neisseriales; Neisseriaceae.